AUUGAACGUUGGCGGCAGGCCUAACACAUGCAAGUCGAACGGUAGCACAGAGAGCUUGCUCUCGGGUGACGAGUGGCGGACGGGUGAGUAACGUCUGGGAAACUGCCCGAUGGAGGGGGAUAGCUACUGGAAACGGUAGCUAAUACCGCAUAACGUCGCAAGACCAAAGUGGGGGACCUUCGGGCCUCACACCAUCGGAUGUGCCCAGAUGGGAUUAGCUAGUAGGUGGGGUAAUGGCUCACCUAGGCGACGAUCCCUAGCUGGUCUGAGAGGAUGACCAGCCACACUGGAACUGAGACACGGUCCAGACUCCUACGGGAGGCAGCAGUGGGGAAUAUUGCACAAUGGGCGCAAGCCUGAUGCAGCCAUGCCGCGUGUAUGAAGAAGGCCUUCGGGUUGUAAAGUACUUUCAGCGGGGAGGAAGGCGGUGAAGUUAAUAACUUCACCGAUUGACGUUACCCGCAGAAGAAGCACCGGCUAACUCCGUGCCAGCAGCCGCCGCUG
RNAcentral lists this ribosomal RNA (504 nucleotides) under uncultured bacterium. RNAcentral describes it as "partial 16S ribosomal RNA". It matches the Rfam family "Bacterial small subunit ribosomal RNA", at positions 30 to 523 of the family's 1533-position model. The record is from RNAcentral.